AUGGCUGUAGAGGGGGCCGGGAAGGGGGUGUCAUCGAUGUGCUGUUCAAGCGGCGAGUUGCAGCGGAGGGGCGCGGGCAAGAGGAUGCUAUCGAGGGUUCUUGCGGAUAGUGUUGAUCGUUCUGGGUUGUUGGAGUGGGCCAAAUACCUGACGACGGGUAAGAUAGAGGUGCUGUACAAGCAGUGGAUGCUCGGCUGCGACCAUAAGGCAAUUGCAAUAGCUUGUUGCUUCAAGGACGAGGGCCCUCUAUUAAUAGUGUGUCCAGCUGUUCUGCGUUAUACUUGGGCAGAGGAAUUGGAACGCUGGGAUCCUUCAUUUCUUCCAAAAGAUAUUCAUCUUGGUGUUGUAAUUUUAUCAACACACAGUAAGGAUUUAUGGUGGAAGGAGCGAGGCGUCAUAGCUGGCGAUUGCCAAAGAUGUCACCUAGCUGAUCAGCGACACGCCACACCACGCCAUUGGUGCACCUCAACAAGACCGGUGACUAACUGGUCUUUGACUCUGUUUCUGAGAUAA
Molecule: ribosomal RNA, 513 nt
Filed under: Triticum aestivum (bread wheat)
Lineage: Eukaryota; Viridiplantae; Streptophyta; Magnoliopsida; Poales; Poaceae
Description: partial small subunit ribosomal RNA
Source: RNAcentral